Long non-coding RNA from Amphimedon queenslandica, 468 nucleotides. RefSeq lists it as uncharacterized. NCBI's taxonomy places the organism in Eukaryota, Metazoa, Porifera, Demospongiae, Haplosclerida, Niphatidae. The record is from RefSeq and is a predicted model, not a curated record. The transcript has 4 exons.
UCCUUUGAAAGUUUAUAAUGUUUUCAUACAACCAAUUAAGUCAGUCAUUGAUUAUUACUUGUUAGUCUAUAAUGUGCAUGGAGGAGAAUGAGUCUUCCUUGGAUUCCUACAUGGGAAUUUGAUGCAAUAAUAAAGCAGUGGCGUAGCUAGAAUAAAUGAAGAAAGAGGGCACAGUGGGGGCACUGACUAAAGCAAUGCUCAAGAAUACUCAAUAUAUUGCAGGGGCACAAUUAAGAAGCAGUUAUGAAGGCACUUGCCCCCACAGGCCCCUAUGUAGCUACGCCACUGAUUAUAGAUAUGGGGGGCUUUUAAUUUUGUAUCAGUAUAGGCUUUAUCAUCAUUAUAAAGUGCUGCAUUUUUUCUUUAGAAGGAAGUGAAGUGAACAUUAAUUUUUGUAGUCAUUAUUAUUGUCAACUAUUUUUGGUUUAAAUUUAUGAUUGCAUUGUUUCCAAUGAUGCCAGACAGAUA